GAUGAACGCUAGCGGCAGGCCUAAUACAUGCAAGUCGAACGGGAUCUGAGGGUAGCUUGCUACCCGAUUUGAGAGUGGCGCACGGGUGCGUAACGCGUGAGCAACCUACCCAUAUCAGGGGGAUAGCCCGAAGAAAUUCGGAUUAACACCGCAUAAUAAUACGCUAACACAUGGUGAUGUAUUUAAAUAUUUAUAGGAUAUGGAUGGGCUCGCGUGACAUUAGCUAGUUGGUAAGGUAACGGCUUACCAAGGCGACGAUGUCUAGGGGCUCUGAGAGGAGAAUCCCCCACACUGGUACUGAGACACGGACCAGACUCCUACGGGAGGCAGCAGUAAGGAAUAUUGGUCAAUGGGCGCAAGCCUGAACCAGCCAUGCCGCGUGCAGGAUGACUGCCCUAUGGGUUGUAAACUGCUUUUGUUAGGGAAUAAACCUUCUUACGUGUAAGGAGCUGAAUGUACCUAAAGAAUAAGGAUCGGCUAACUCCGUGCCAGCCGCCGCAGUAA
RNAcentral lists this ribosomal RNA (504 nucleotides) under uncultured bacterium. Its description in RNAcentral is "partial 16S ribosomal RNA". It matches the Rfam family "Bacterial small subunit ribosomal RNA", at positions 28 to 523 of the family's 1533-position model. The record is from RNAcentral.